RNAcentral lists this ribosomal RNA (319 nucleotides) under uncultured Prevotella sp. RNAcentral describes it as "partial 16S ribosomal RNA". The record is from RNAcentral. Lineage: Bacteria; Pseudomonadati; Bacteroidota; Bacteroidia; Bacteroidales; Prevotellaceae.
GGAGUUUGGUCCGUGUCUCAGUACCAAUGUGGGGGACCUUCCUCUCAGAACCCCUACUGAUCGUCGGCUAGGUGGGCCGUUACCCCGCCUACUACCUAAUCAGACGCAUCCCCAUCCCAUAGCGAUAAAUCUUUGGUAUUGCUCAGAUGUCCUCAUAAUACAACAUAGGGCAUUAAUCCGACUUUCGCCGGGCUGUUCCCUACCUGCGGGAAGGUUGGAUACGCGUUACUCACCCGUGCGCCGGUCGCCGGCAAGCUUAGCAAGCUAAGCCCCGCUGCCCCUCGACUUGCAUGUGUUAAGCCUGUAGCUAGCGUUCAUC